Molecule: ribosomal RNA, 509 nt
Filed under: Escherichia coli
Lineage: Bacteria; Pseudomonadati; Pseudomonadota; Gammaproteobacteria; Enterobacterales; Enterobacteriaceae
Description: partial 23S ribosomal RNA
Rfam family: Bacterial large subunit ribosomal RNA
Source: RNAcentral
CUGUAAGCCUGUGAAGGUGUGCUGUGAGGCAUGCUGGAGGUAUCAGAAGUGCGAAUGCUGACAUAAGUAACGAUAAAGCGGGUGAAAAGCCCGCUCGCCGGAAGACCAAGGGUUCCUGUCCAACGUUAAUCGGGGCAGGGUGAGUCGACCCCUAAGGCGAGGCCGAAAGGCGUAGUCGAUGGGAAACAGGUUAAUAUUCCUGUACUUGGUGUUACUGCGAAGGGGGGACGGAGAAGGCUAUGUUGGCCGGGCGACGGUUGUCCCGGUUUAAGCGUGUAGGCUGGUUUUCCAGGCAAAUCCGGAAAAUCAAGGCUGAGGCGUGAUGACGAAGCACUACGGUGCUGAAGCAACAAAUGCCCUGCUUCCAGGAAAAGCCUCUAAGCAUCAGGUAACAUCAAAUCGUACCCCAAACCGACACAGGUGGUCAGGUAGAGAAUACCAAGGCGCUUGAGAGAACUCGGGUGAAGGAACUAGGCAAAAUGGUGCCGUAACUUCGGGAGAAGGCACGC